This 280-nucleotide unclassified non-coding RNA is filed under the name air metagenome. RNAcentral's name for it is "partial contains small subunit ribosomal RNA, internal transcribed spacer 1, and 5.8S ribosomal RNA". The stretch from base 1 to 46 matches the Rfam family "Eukaryotic small subunit ribosomal RNA", at positions 1786 to 1831 of the family's 1831-position model. The record is from RNAcentral.
AAGUCGUAACAAGGUUUCCGUAGGUGAACCUGCGGAAGGAUCAUUAAUGAUUUUAAGGAUGUGCUGGCUCCUUUCAGAGCAAACUGUGCACUCCGAAAAACCCUUCCAUUUUCCUCACCCUUGUGCACUUUUGGAGCUAGACAAGAGAAAGUGAAUGCUUUUUCUGUUUAUGCUCUAUUUUUACAAACACAAAAUCUUUUCAAAGAAUGUGAAACUGUGUUGACUUUAACCAGUCAUGCAAAAUGUAAUACAACUUUCAACAACGGAUCUCUUGGUUCUC